GGGCUCGUAGCCUAGUCUGGAAGGGCACUUCGCUUCGGACGAAGAGGUCGGGGGUUCGAAUCCCUCCGAGCCCG
Molecule: transfer RNA, 74 nt
Filed under: archaeon
Lineage: Archaea
Description: tRNA-Arg
Rfam family: tRNA
About the family: Transfer RNA (tRNA) molecules are approximately 80 nucleotides in length. Their secondary structure includes four short double-helical elements and three loops (D, anti-codon, and T loops).
Source: RNAcentral